GGCGAGAUGGCCGAGCGGUCUAAGGCGCCAGACUAAGGAGUUGGCUUCGGUCAUUUCUGCGAUUAUCUGGUCCGAAAGGGCGUGGGUUCGAAUCCCACUCUCGUCA
This is a non-coding RNA of Trametes maxima, 106 nucleotides long. NCBI's taxonomy places the organism in Eukaryota, Fungi, Basidiomycota, Agaricomycetes, Polyporales, Polyporaceae. The record is from the annotation of a GenBank genome assembly.